Molecule: ribosomal RNA, 1381 nt
Filed under: uncultured bacterium
Lineage: Bacteria
Description: 16S ribosomal RNA
Rfam family: Bacterial small subunit ribosomal RNA
Source: RNAcentral
UUCGCCCUUAGAGUUUGAUCCUGGCUCAGGACGAACGCUGGCGGCGCGCCUAACACAUGCAAGUCGAACGAGCGAGAGAGAGCUUGCUUUCUCGAGCGAGUGGCGAACGGGUGAGUAACGCGUGAGGAACCUGCCUCAAAGAGGGGGACAACAGUUGGAAACGACUGCUAAUACCGCAUAAGCCCACGACCCGGCAUCGGGUAGAGGGAAAAGGAGCAAUCCGCUUUGAGAUGGCCUCGCGUCCGAUUAGCUAGUUGGUGAGGUAACGGCCCACCAAGGCGACGAUCGGUAGCCGGACUGAGAGGUUGAACGGCCACAUUGGGACUGAGACACGGCCCAGACUCCUACGGGAGGCAGCAGUGGGGAAUAUUGCACAAUGGGGGAAACCCUGAUGCAGCGACGCCGCGUGGAGGAAGAAGGUCUUCGGAUUGUAAACUCCUGUUGUUGGGGAAGAUAAUGACGGUACCCAACAAGGAAGUGACGGCUAACUACGUGCCAGCAGCCGCGGUAAAACGUAGGUCACAAGCGUUGUCCGGAAUUACUGGGUGUAAAGGGAGCGCAGGCGGGAAGACAAGUUGGAAGUGAAAUCCAUGGGCUUAACCCAUGAACUGCUUUCAAAACUGUUUUUCUUGAGUAGUGCAGAGGUAGGCGGAAUUCCCGGUGUAGCGGUGGAAUGCGUAGAUAUCGGGAGGAACACCAGUGGCGAAGGCGGCCUACUGGGGCACCAACUGACGCUGAGGCUCGAAAGUGUGGGUAGCAAACAGGAUUAGAUACCCUGGUAGUCCACACCGUAAACGAUGAUUACUAGGUGUUGGAGGAUUGACCCCUUCAGUGCCGCAGUUAACACAAUAAGUAAUCCACCUGGGGAGUACGACCGCAAGGUUGAAACUCAAAGGAAUUGACGGGGGCCCGCACAAGCAGUGGAGUAUGUGGUUUAAUUCGACGCAACGCGAAGAACCUUACCAAGUCUUGACAUCCUGUGACAGACGUAGAAAUACGUUCUUCCUUCGGGACACAGAGAACAGGUGGUGCAUGGUUGUCGUCGGCUCGUGUCGUGAGAUGUUGGGUUAAGUCCCGCAACGAGCGCAACCCUUAUGGUCAGUUACUACGCAAGAGGACUCUGGCCAGACUGCCGUUGACAAAACGGAGGAAGGUGGGGAUGACGUCAAAUCAUCAUGCCCUUUAUGACUUGGGCUACACACGUACUACAAUGGCGUUAAACAAAGAGAAGCAAGACCGCGAGGUGGAGCAAAACUCAGAAACAACGUCCCAGUUCGGACUGCAGGCUGCAACUCGCCUGCACGAAGUCGGAAUUGCUAGUAAUCGUGGAUCAGCAUGCCACGGUGAAUACGUUCCCGGGCCUUGCACUCACCGCCCGUCA